Molecule: non-coding RNA, 778 nt
Organism: Microcebus murinus (gray mouse lemur)
Lineage: Eukaryota; Metazoa; Chordata; Mammalia; Primates; Cheirogaleidae
Source: RefSeq, a predicted model, not a curated record
CUGGAACCCCUGUCAGGACUGAAAAGGCGCAAGUCACAGGGAGGGCGGGGGAAGAGCUCGGUGAGUCCCCUUUGGGGAAGAGUCUGUUCACAUUUUCAAACUCUCCAAGAGACCUGAGGGAAAGUGUUCCAACCAUAAGUGGCAGACACAUGAGACACGCAGCGGGUGACACACCUUCACGGGGAGCUGUGAAGAGAGAUUUUCCUCACGGGGUGACAGGCACAGGCUCAGGGUCGCCUUGGAGUCCCAGGGCCCCACGCAUGCGCUGGUUUCCUCGUCUUUGCCAGUGCAGGGUUCUCUGGAAAAGUGUUAUAUCUGAGACCAAGCCUGAAGGGUGGCCUUGACGUCAUGAUGACAAGCGGAGCUGUGUCCGUGCUGCCCCGGGUGCAGUCCUGGUAGACGGGAGGUCGCGGACACGUCUGCUUCUGCACAGCACCAGGGUGGCUGUGUCCUUGCUGCAGCCACAGCCCUGUGUGCGUCCUUGUCACCCACAGCCGACGACUCCUGCCGUCACACACCCAGAGCUGCCCGGGCCAGAUAAGCACGUGCCCUCCAGGGACCAGGACCUCCUGGGCGCUGCUUUAUCCUGUCCCGAGGCCAAGUUCUCAGGGAUGGAACGUUGGAGAAUGGAUCCCUCCACCUGCAGACUCCGGGAUGAAAGAGGAACAGGCUGGGGGUCUCUGGCAGAGGGACCAGGCCCCCUGGAGACCUUUUGCAUCCCAGGAACCUGAGCACCGCUCUGUGAAGGGCACUGCAUUAAAGAGGCAAGUUGAUGGGA